AGAACAAGGAGAUGAACGGAGAAUGACUAGCUAACAUAAAUUUCAAUGACAUAACGAACACUAUGCAUCUACAUAUUCAUCAUUCGUUCAUGAAACUGGAUGUUAGAAGGGCGCGGAGCUUGUUCUGCGCAGCUGAUACUUAGGCUCUGGAAGUGGAACACUCGGUAACACCUGCUCUAUCUCCUUCUGUCUCUUGAGCCUUUCAUUCUCUUCUUCGAGGCGUGAAACCUUGUUCUCCAGCUCAUGGGUGUAAGCCUG
RNAcentral lists this unclassified non-coding RNA (258 nucleotides) under Hevea brasiliensis (rubber tree). The record is from RNAcentral. Lineage: Eukaryota; Viridiplantae; Streptophyta; Magnoliopsida; Malpighiales; Euphorbiaceae.